UGGGUGAGGGGCUUCCUUCCUGGUGGGCUAGAGUCUGCCCGGCAACUAGUGAUGUAUUUCAAAUUGGUUGGCUGACAGCCAACAGAUGCUGACCUCCAUUGGACUAGGUAAAUGAGGUCACAAAGGCUGUAUAAGUGAAGAACUGCCCAGGAAGAGGGGGAGCAGCCAUGAGGGAGACACACAGACAAAGAGGAGCUGCACCAUCUGAAACUUGCUCUCUCUCAAAACUCAUGAUCAAGGAACUGCCUGCCUCCAGAGGGAAUCUCCACCUGCCUCUGGAUGAUACUUGGCAUCUCCCAUCCUCCGGGAAAGAUGGGAAAUGGUAUAAAAGCAGUCCAUACUCAGAGUUCCUCUAUCCACAUCUCAUCACCUCUCCACUCCAGGAAACCGAGCCAACCUCCACUGCAGGAACAUGUCUUCCUACAGACAGCUGAUCAGCUCCCGCUGCUACAACCCCUGUGAAGUGACCUGCCCACAGCCAUAUGCCGAUGCCUGGAACGAGCCCUGCGUGACAUCCUGCGGUGACUCCAGAGCCGUGGUCUACCCACCCCCGGUGGCCAUCACCUUCCCCGGACCCAUCCUCGCCUCCUGCCCCCAGGAGAGCUAUGUGGGCACCUCAGAACCCCAGUGCAUUGGCGGCCCAUACACUUUCGGCGGCUACCUGGGGUACAGAGGCUCAGUGGGCACCGGGUACUCCUACCCCUCUUAUUCCUGCCAGAUCAACAGAUACCGCUAUGGGGGCUGCAGGCCAUGCUAAAGCAGCAGGAAUAUCUGUGGCAGAAAGGAAUAGCCAAGAAAUGGGGAACAAGAUUCAGAUUCAGGAAUGAGUGGAGGCACAUUGUUUUCAGAGGCACAAAACACCCACUGCUUCUCUUUGCUGUGGGAGUCAAGGGUGCUCAGGAGCUCUGAAAAUCUUUCCAGUGCAUGAAGUUCUCUUUUCUGUAAUACUCCCUCUCUUUCUGAAUGAUAGCAGUAUGCCCUUAUUCAGGUAGCAGAGGUGGUAUGCAAUCGUUCAGUACACACUUUCUAUGACUAAAGUGGCGUAGAAGGAAGUUAGUAUCCACCACAAUGUGACUGUUUAUGCCAAGUUGUACCAUCUGUUUAUGGCCUUUAGCUUUUAACAAAAUCCAUUUCAGCAUGUAAAAUGUAGAAUAAGAAAAGCUACUUGGUGCUUUCCUUAUGUAGCUCUUUUUCCUGACUAAAAGGACUUAUUCUUCUGAAAAGUGGGAUUGUUGAAAUCUAGCACUGCAAGAAGAAAAAUAGACCAGCUUGUGCACAUGCAGCUUCUUGGAGUGGAGGAUUCGUUGUAGACCUGUUUCGAUCUCUGGAAAUAUGUUGUUUCUCUUUCUCAUUCUUUAACUUUGAAAAUGUAUGUUUCUCUUCUCAUUCCCAUUAAAAGAAAUCAGAUUGCAUCCUAA
Molecule: long non-coding RNA, 1418 nt
Organism: Alligator mississippiensis (American alligator)
Lineage: Eukaryota; Metazoa; Chordata; Crocodylia; Alligatoridae
Exons: 3
Source: RefSeq, a predicted model, not a curated record